Small nucleolar RNA from Mus pahari (shrew mouse), 143 nucleotides. RefSeq annotates it as small nucleolar RNA SNORA48. The transcript has a single exon. The record is from RefSeq and is a predicted model, not a curated record. NCBI's taxonomy places the organism in Eukaryota, Metazoa, Chordata, Mammalia, Rodentia, Muridae.
UGCUCCCUGGCAAUGGGCAAUGAGACACCUUGUUGGUGUUGGCUUUUAUAUCAGUCAGAGGCAUAGCAGAUGGCAGUCCUUUGUUCAUCAUAGCUUGAUGCUUGACAUUAUGGCCAAAGCUAUCUUAUGUUUAGGACUCAUAA